This 648-nucleotide ribosomal RNA is filed under the name uncultured archaeon. Its description in RNAcentral is "bacterial SSU rRNA". It matches the Rfam family "Archaeal small subunit ribosomal RNA", at positions 778 to 1448 of the family's 1478-position model. The record is from RNAcentral.
GCCCUCUUCGGGUGGAUUCGGUGCUGAAGCGAAGGCGAAGAGUGAGCUACCUGGGAAGUAUAGUCGCAAGAUCGAAACUUAAAGGAAUUGGCGGGGAGACAUACAACGAGUGACGCGUGCGGUUCAAUUAGAUUUUACACCGUGAACCUCACCAGGAGCGACAGCAGGAUGAAGGUCAGUCUAAAGGGCUUACCUGACACGCUGAGCGGAGAUGCAUGGCCGACGUCAGCCUGUGCUGUGAAGUGACCUGUUAAAUCAGGUAACAGGCGAGACCCGUAUCAUUAAUUACUACAGAAAUGGGUACCUUAAUGAGACUGCCUUGGUAACAAGGAGGAAGGUGCGGGCUACGUUAGGUGAGUACGUCCCUAAUCCCCUGGGCUACACGCGCGCGGCAAUGGUAUGUUCAAAUGGAUGCAACUCCGAGAGGAGAAGCUAAUCCCCUAACGCAUAUCUCAGUCCAGAUUGAGGGUUGCAACCCACCCUCAUGACGAUGGAAUUCGUAGUAAUCGGAUAUUAGCACUGUCCGGUGAAUACGUCCCUGUCUCUUGCACACACCGCCCGUCAAACCAACCGAGUUGUGGAGGGGUGAAGCCCUUUUUGGGAAGAACCUUUUCACGACAAGGUAGGUUAAGUCGUAACAAGGUAGCC